GAUAAACGCUGGCGGCAUGCCUAAUACAUGCAAGUCGAACGGGGUUAAUGGUGCUUGCACCGUAACCUAGUGGCGAACGGGUGAGUAACACGUAGUUAACCUACCCAUUGGACUGGGACAACUUUUGGAAACGAAAGCUAAUACCGGAUAGGAAGAAAUUUUAAAGGAGCGAAUGCUUCACCAAUGGAAGGGACUGCGUCUGAUUAGCUAGUUGGUAGGGUAAGAGCCUACCAAGGCGACGAUCGGUAGCCGGACUGAGAGGUUGAACGGCCACACUGGGACUGAGACACGGCCCAGACACCUACGGGAGGCAG
This 314-nucleotide ribosomal RNA is filed under the name uncultured Bacillota bacterium. RNAcentral's name for it is "bacterial SSU rRNA". It matches the Rfam family "Bacterial small subunit ribosomal RNA", at positions 28 to 351 of the family's 1533-position model. The record is from RNAcentral. Lineage: Bacteria; Bacillati; Bacillota.